Molecule: ribosomal RNA, 301 nt
Filed under: uncultured bacterium
Lineage: Bacteria
Description: partial 16S ribosomal RNA
Rfam family: Bacterial small subunit ribosomal RNA
Source: RNAcentral
CAGUAGCCGCGGUAAUACGUAGGGUGCAAGCGUUAAUCGGAAUUACUGGGCGUAAAGCGCACGCAGGCGGUCUGACAAGUCAGAUGUGAAAUCCCCGGGCUUAACCUGGGAACUGCAUUUGAAACUGUCAGGCUGGAGUCUUGUAGAGGGGGGUAGAAUUCCAGGUGUAGCGGUGAAAUGCGUAGAGAUCUGGAGGAAUACCGGUGGCGAAGGCGGCCCCCUGGACAAAGACUGACGCUCAGGUGCGAAAGCGUGGGGAGCAAACAGGAUUAGAUACCCGUGUAGUCCCUGUCUCUUAUAC